Etheostoma spectabile (orangethroat darter) is the source of this 206-nucleotide long non-coding RNA. RefSeq lists it as uncharacterized. NCBI's taxonomy places the organism in Eukaryota, Metazoa, Chordata, Actinopteri, Perciformes, Percidae. The transcript has 2 exons. The record is from RefSeq and is a predicted model, not a curated record.
GUGGAGAAUCUGUGUGAAGAUGAAGCUCCUACUCAACAGUCUGCUACUCGCCUCGCUCUGCGCCCUCUCAUCUUGGAGUGUUUCAUCAGACACACUUGUUGUUACCCAGGAUCCUGAUGUCUCUGUCAUGGAGGGGGGGGCAGUAAACAUCACCUGCUGCUGGAAAGGCCAGCAUGUACGAGUGCGAGUAAAAUGGCUGAAGAAUC